RNAcentral lists this ribosomal RNA (303 nucleotides) under Bacillus cereus. RNAcentral describes it as "bacterial SSU rRNA". It matches the Rfam family "Bacterial small subunit ribosomal RNA", at positions 550 to 852 of the family's 1533-position model. Lineage: Bacteria; Bacillati; Bacillota; Bacilli; Caryophanales; Bacillaceae. The record is from RNAcentral.
AUUAUUGGGCGUAAGCGCGCGCAGGCGGUUUCUUAAGUCUGAUGUGAAAGCCCACGGCUCUACCGUGGAGGGUCAUUGGAAACUGGGAGGCUUGAGUGCCUAAGAGAAGAGCGGAAUUCCAUGUGUAGCGGUGAAAUGCGUAGAGAUGUGGAGGAACACCAGUGGCGAAGGCGUCCCUCUGGUCUGUAACUGACGCUGAGGCGCGAAAGCGUGGGGAGCGAACAGGAUUACAUACCCUGCCAGUCCACGCCGUAAACGAUGAGUGCUAAGUGUUGUACCCCCCCUUCCCCUCCCUGCUGAACU